GUUCAUGUAGCUUAACAAUAAAGCAAAGCACUGAAAAUGCUUAGAUGGAUUUUUAUCCCAUAAACA
This 66-nucleotide transfer RNA is filed under the name Praomys daltoni complex sp. clade A. RNAcentral's name for it is "tRNA-Phe". It matches the Rfam family "tRNA". From Rfam's summary of the family: Transfer RNA (tRNA) molecules are approximately 80 nucleotides in length. The record is from RNAcentral. Lineage: Eukaryota; Metazoa; Chordata; Mammalia; Rodentia; Muridae.